CCGAGAAUAUUGGACAAUGGGCGAAAGCCUGAUCCAGCGACAUUGCGUGGAGGAUGAAGACGUUCGCGCCGUAAACUCCUUUUAUAGGGAAAGAAGUAAUUGACGGUACCCUAUGAAUAAGCGGGGGCUAAUUCUGUGCCAGCAGCAGCGGUAAUACAGAACCCGCAAGCGUUAUCCGGAUUUAUUGGGCGUAAAGUGUUCGUAGGCGGUUUGGAAAGUCUGAUAUCAAAUAUCCGGGCUCAACCCGGGACGCGUAUCGGAAACUUCCAAACUUGAAGGUGCUAGGGGCUAUCGGAACGCACGGUGUAGGGGUGAAAUCCGUUGAUAUCGUGCGGAACACCAAAAGCGAAGGCAGAUAGCUGGGGCAUUCUUGACGCUGAGGAACGAAAGCGUGGGGAGC
This 400-nucleotide ribosomal RNA is filed under the name uncultured bacterium. RNAcentral describes it as "bacterial SSU rRNA". It matches the Rfam family "Bacterial small subunit ribosomal RNA", at positions 355 to 769 of the family's 1533-position model. The record is from RNAcentral.